RNAcentral lists this ribosomal RNA (407 nucleotides) under uncultured bacterium. Its description in RNAcentral is "partial 16S ribosomal RNA". It matches the Rfam family "Bacterial small subunit ribosomal RNA", at positions 28 to 526 of the family's 1533-position model. The record is from RNAcentral.
GUCGAACGCUGGCGGCGUGCUUAACACAUGCAAGUCGAACGAAGUGGCGAACGGGUGAGUAACGCGUAUCAACCUGCCCUUCAGUGGGGGAUAACGUCCGGAAACGGGCGCUAAUACCGCAUACUAUCAGCUUAGCCUAGGUGGGAUUAGCUAGUUGGUGGGGUAAAGGCCUACAAAGGCGACGAUCCGUAGCUGGUCUGAGGGGAUGAUCAGUCACACUGGAACUGAGACACGGUCCAGACUCCUACGGGAGGCAGCAGUGGGGAAUAUUGCACAAUGGGCGCAAGCCUGAUGCAGCCAUGCCGCGUGUGUGAAGAAGGCCUUCGGGUUGUAAAGCACUUUCAGCGGGGAGGCGUUACCCGCAGAAGAAGCACCGGCUAACUCCGUGCCAGCCGCCGCGGUAAUAC